RNAcentral lists this ribosomal RNA (497 nucleotides) under uncultured bacterium. Its description in RNAcentral is "partial 16S ribosomal RNA". It matches the Rfam family "Bacterial small subunit ribosomal RNA", at positions 28 to 507 of the family's 1533-position model. The record is from RNAcentral.
GAUGAACGCUGGCGGCGUGCCUAAUACAUGCAAGUCGAGCGAACGGACGAGAAGCUUGCUUCUCUGAUGCUAGCGGCGGACGGGUGAGUAACACGUGUAUAACCUACCUAUAAGACUGGGAUAACUUCGGGAAACCGGAGCUAAUACCGGAUAAUAUUUUGAACCGCAUGGUUCAAAAGUGAAAGACGGUCUUGCUGUCACUUAUAGAUGGAUCCGCGCUGCAUUAGCUAGUUGGUAAGGUAACGGCUUACCAAGGCAACGAUGCAUAGCCGACCUGAGAGGGUGAUCGGCCACACUGGAACGGAGACACGGUCCAGACUCCUACGGGAGGCAGCAGUAGGGAAUCUUCCGCAAUGGGCGAAAGCCUGACGGAGCAACGCCGCGUGAGUGAUGAAGGUCUUCGGAUCGUAAAACUCUGUUAUUAGGGAAGAACAUAUGUGUAAGUAACUGUGCACAUCUUGACGGUACCUAAUCAGAAAGCCACGGCUAACUACGUG